GGUGCCUUAUAAAAAAUAAGGUGGCACAGAAUCGGAGGCCCCGACUGUUUACUAAAAACACAACACAGUGCAAUCAUAAAUAUGGUAGUAUACUGUGUGAAAUUUGCCCGAUGCCAUUAAUAUAAGAAAAGUUAUGGUUUUGUUUAAUAACAAUACUGUGACCUAUCGAAAUUCUGGUUAAUAGCGGUCUUAACCAUGAGGAUCCUAAGGUAGCAAAAUCAAUUGGCCAUUAAAUGUGGUCCGGUAUCAAUAAUGUAACGAUGGUCUCACUGUCUCUACAACUUGCUCAGUGAAAUUGAAUUACGCGUGCAGAUGCGCGUUGCCUCCAGGGGAA
RNAcentral lists this ribosomal RNA (334 nucleotides) under cortinarioid fungal sp. MFC-19. Its description in RNAcentral is "LSU rRNA". It matches the Rfam family "Bacterial large subunit ribosomal RNA", at positions 1747 to 2080 of the family's 2925-position model. The record is from RNAcentral. Lineage: Eukaryota; Fungi; Basidiomycota; Agaricomycetes; Agaricales; Cortinariaceae.